This 437-nucleotide ribosomal RNA is filed under the name Wolbachia pipientis. RNAcentral describes it as "bacterial SSU rRNA". It matches the Rfam family "Bacterial small subunit ribosomal RNA", at positions 992 to 1428 of the family's 1533-position model. The record is from RNAcentral. Lineage: Bacteria; Pseudomonadati; Pseudomonadota; Alphaproteobacteria; Rickettsiales; Anaplasmataceae.
CAUACCUAUUCGAAGGGAUAGGGUCGGUUUGGCCGGAUUUCACACAGGUGUUGCAUGGCUGUCGUCAGCUCGUGUCGUGAGAUGUUGGGUUAAGUCCCGCAACGAGCGCAACCCUCAUCCUUAGUUACCAUCAGGUUAUGCUGGGGACUUUAAGGAAACUGCCAGUGAUAAACCGGAGGAAGGUUGGGAUGAUGUCAAGUCAUCAUGGCCCUUAUGGAGUGGGCUACACACGUGCUACAAUGGUGAUUACAAUGGGCUGCAAGGUCGCAAGGCUGAGCUAAUCCUAAAAAAUCAUCUCAGUUCGGAUUGUUCUCUGCAACUCGAGAGCAUGAAGUUGGAAUCGCUAGUAAUCGUGGAUCAGCAUGCCACGGUGAAUACGUUCUCGGGUCUUGUACACACUGCCCGUCACGCCAUGGGAAUUGGUUUCACUCGAAGCU